This 468-nucleotide ribosomal RNA is filed under the name uncultured bacterium. RNAcentral describes it as "partial 16S ribosomal RNA". It matches the Rfam family "Bacterial small subunit ribosomal RNA", at positions 28 to 507 of the family's 1533-position model. The record is from RNAcentral.
GACGAACGCUGGCGGCGUGCUUAACACAUGCAAGUCGAACGGAAAGGCCCUGCUUUUGUGGGGUGCUCGAGUGGCGAACGGGUGAGUAACACGUGAGUAACCUGCCCUUGACUUUGGGAUAACUUCAGGAAACUGGGGCUAAUACCGGAUAGGAGCUCCUGCUGCAUGGUGGGGGUUGGAAAGUUUCGGCGGUUGGGGAUGGACUCGCGGCUUAUCAGCUUGUUGGUGGGGUAGUGGCUUACCAAGGCUUUGACGGGUAGCCGGCCUGAGAGGGGGACCGGCCACAUUGGGACUGAGAUACGGCCCAGACUCCUACGGGAGGCAGCAGUGGGGAAUAUUACACAAUGGGCGGAAGCCUGAUGCAGCAACGCCGCGUGCGGGAUGACGGCCUUCGGGUUGUAAACCGCUUUCGCCUGUGACGAAGCGUGAGUGACGGUAAUGGGUAAAGAAGCACCGGCUAACUACGUG